AUUUAGAGGAAGGAGAAGUCGUAACAAGGUUUCCGUAGGUGAACCUGCGGAAGGAUCAUUGUCGAUGCCCCCCCGAAAAGGACGACCCGCGAACCGGUUUUACCAGCCCCCGGGCGGGCCCUCGCCGCCCGCCCGCCGGCGGCGUCGCCUGCGCCGCGCAGGCCCGUCCCCCGGACGAGCAAACCAACCCCGGCGCCGAACGCGCCAAGGAAACGCAACAGUGCGGCGCGCCCCCGGCGGCACCGGAUGCGGUGCCCGCCCGGCCGGCGCCCGCGUCACCGGUCGUUCGACCUCCGAAACGACUCUCGGCAACGGAUAUCUCGGCUCUCGCAUCGAUGAAGAACGUAGCGAAAUGCGAUACUUGGUGUGAAUUGCAGAAUCCCGUGAACCAUCGAGUCUUUGAACGCAAGUUGCGCCCGAAGCCACUAGGCCGAGGGCACGUCUGCCUGGGCGUCACGCAGCGUCGCCAGCGCCCCAGCCCGGGCGCGGCGGAUGAUGGCCUCCCGCGAGCCUCGCCUCCCGGCCGGCCGAAACCGGGCUUUCCCCCCGCGACGAGCGCCGCGAUCCACGGUGGAUGAGUGAGCACGACGAGCUCGAGACCGGACGCGCGCGCCGUCGCCGGGGCCGGGCCAGCGGAACGAGGGUCUCCCUCGCCCCCGAAGGCGACCCCAGGUCAGGCGGGGCUACCCGCUGAGUUUAAGCAUA
Molecule: unclassified non-coding RNA, 705 nt
Filed under: Adenanthera pavonina (bead tree)
Lineage: Eukaryota; Viridiplantae; Streptophyta; Magnoliopsida; Fabales; Fabaceae
Description: partial contains small subunit ribosomal RNA, internal transcribed spacer 1, 5.8S ribosomal RNA, internal transcribed spacer 2, and large subunit ribosomal RNA
Rfam family: 5.8S ribosomal RNA (bases 301-456)
Source: RNAcentral